This 2241-nucleotide small RNA is filed under the name Pan troglodytes (chimpanzee). RNAcentral describes it as "processed transcript". The record is from RNAcentral. Lineage: Eukaryota; Metazoa; Chordata; Mammalia; Primates; Hominidae.
AUUUAAACACCUUGGAUUUUCUACCGGGUCUUGGCUUCUGUUCCCGCAGGGCAUGAGCCUGAGGAGCAGGACGCGGUGGGGGUCACAGGAGGCUGCUGCUCAGAGUCUGCAGGCGGGAAAGGGGUCCCACCUGUCUGGGGUGGGCAGCCUCGUGGUCCAGGGCAGUGCAGGGCAGAGCCUGGGCUGUGCAAUCACAGCCGCUGCCUUUCUCCUGGGAGCCUCCACUUCCUCCAAAACGGGCCUUGUGCCAGCCCCACCCGCGGCGAGCGGACAAGGCCACGAGGGCAGGGCCCUGAGUACCUGGGCGGGGGGGACACUCCCAGGGGGCACAGAGGGGGCUCCCACCUGGGCACCUGCCUCCUGCCCUUCUCUUCUUCCUCCACGUGCCAGGUGGGGCCCUGGGUUUGAGGAGCCGAGCCUGGACGCACGCCCUGCCCGCAGGAAGCUGGAGGCACGCAAGUGGCCUCGGAAAUCGCGGCCGCGAGAACAGUAGCCGCCCAGGGACUAAGGGGGCUUCUGGGAGGACACACGGCUGGCCCAGGGUGAGGGGAGCCACUGCAGGGCGCUCCCCAGGCCCAGGGCCCGUCAGGGGACAGUACGGUGACCCGGCCUGCAGGUGGCAGUCGGUUCUGUGUGUCUGGGGCCCACAGAACAGGUUGGGUGGGGGCUGGGGCAGGGGCAGCAGAAGUGGGCAGGGCCUGGGGGGCUCAGGCACUGGGCGUGGAGAGCAGACAGGAAGCUCCAGUGGGCACCACCCCGGGACCGCGGCUCCCACCCGUGCUGCCCCCACCCAUGGCCACGGCCACCGGGAACAGUGGGACCUGGGGUCUCCGAGGGACUCAGCAGGGCGGGCACAGACCAGUGGAGUCCGGGCUAGAGAGGGCCAGCUCCUAGCCUCUUGCUUCCUGGGCUGAGGACAUGGGGAUCCAAGGCCAGUGGGUCUGCAGGGCCCAGCCCGGCUGCCUGAUAAGAUAGGCCGAGCUCCUCCCUGCACGGCUGCAAAGACGCCCACCUGUCUUAUUGGAUCCCCACAGGGAUAGACCCACCAGGCGGCCCCCGUGUCUCACUCUGUCAGCAGGUGGGGGCGUGGUGCUCCCCAGGGACCUGCUGCCGAGGGGCAGUUUCUGGAGGCUGGGGGCACUGGCCGGGCUCUAGGCCUGCUCUGCCCUUGCUGUGGGGAAGGCCACCCCGAUAGGGGUCAAGUUGCUCAAAUCUGCGUUUGGAGGGUGUGUGGCCGAGGGCUCCCCUUCUGGAGACCCAGACACCGCCUGGGCUCCGGGCGGCAGAGGCUGAGGUGUUGGGGGCUGAGCCCCUAUGUCAGCAACACCUCAGGCCUGCGCUUUAGGACAGGGGAGAAGUCAGUUUCCGCCAAAUGCCCCCUCGGACCAGCCGAGGACUGUGCCAGGAAACUGACAUGCUCAGCGCUCAAGCCAGCUGGGACAGCGACUGAGCCCAGAGAGACGGAGCAAGUUGCCUGAGGUCACAGAGCAGGGACUUGGACACCAGGCAGCCGGCUCCACAGAGGCCCUCUCUCCUCCCUGCCUCCUGACCCUCAGACGCCUCCGCCCCGCGGGCCCCGACAGAGAAGCAGGCCGUGAGGCAGGCAGGAGCCGCGUGUCUGGGCCCAGCACACCUGCCAAGCUCUCUAGCCUCUCCUGGCCUCAGUGUCCUUGUCUGGGAGAUGGUCCAGCUGAAAAUCCCCAGCAUCCACAAGAAAGGGUGGAAGCCCUGGGGGCCCUGGCCUGGCCCGGGUGCAGGCUGCAUGGCCGGGCGGGGCGGCGUCUCCUUUCACAGCUUCCCUGUCUGUCCGCAGCCUCCAGGAGCCCCAUACAGGGCUGGGGCUCUGUGCCCCCAACUCACACCCGUCAGCUCCCCCAGGAGGAGCAGGCUGGGCCCAGAGCCGCAGGGUGGGCUGCAGGGAGGUCUGACUUAGCUGGGGAAAGUGCCAUCCCUGCCAUUGCUAGUGACAAGCUUGGGCUGCUGUGGCCCCAGCACAGAUUCAACACUCACUGCGUCAUGUGCCAGCUGUUGCACACUCAUCUCCACGCCCAACUCACAGGAAGCAAGGCUGGGAAGGAGGGAACUGGCCCCAGGCCACACAGAUGCUGAGAGUUGGGAAUAUGAUCGGGUGCAGUGGCUCACACCUGUAAUUCCAGCACUUGGGGAGGCCAAGGCGAGUGGAUUGCUUGAGCCCAGGAGUCUGAGACCAGCCUGGGCAACAUGGUAAAACCCCAUCUCUAC